AUUUUAACUUAACUAAAUAAACAGCAUUUAAUUGAUCUUCCUUCCUCCCAUCCUUCCUUUCUUAUGUGGUGUAGCCUUGCUCUGCAGCCUCUGCCUGGGCUGUAUUAUACGGGUGUUUGUGUGGGUGUGUUAUGACGGUGUACGAUGAUGACCUCUGGCUGCAGAGACAAGGACGUGGUCAGGUGAUCCGCAGGCUGAUUGGCGCCUGUCUAGCGUAGAGGACGCUGUCACCUCCAAGACCGUCAGAUAGAAGACUUCAGGGCUAAAUGAAGAUUAAUCAACCUGUGGGGACUGGAGCGACACACCCAACAAAUGAAAGAAAAUGGCUGUGUAGUAAUCUUUUUGACAUUGGUAGGACCAUUCUACCUUUUGGAGCACAGAGGGCUAGAGAGUGGCAGAGCCUCGGCGUCAUCCUGGACAACACCCUCUCAUUCGCACCCCAUAUUCACAACAUCA
This is a long non-coding RNA of Gadus morhua (Atlantic cod), 456 nucleotides long. RefSeq lists it as uncharacterized. The transcript is spliced from 3 exons. The record is from RefSeq and is a predicted model, not a curated record. NCBI's taxonomy places the organism in Eukaryota, Metazoa, Chordata, Actinopteri, Gadiformes, Gadidae.